GAGACGCUGGCGGCGUGCCUAAUACAUGCAAGUCGAGCGGGGAUUAUGCUUGAUCGCUUCGGUGAGACGGCAUAUAUCCUAGCGGCGGACGGGUGAGUAACGCGUGGGUAAUCUACCUCGUAGUUCGGGAUAACAGGCCGAAAGGCUUGCUAAUACCGGAUGAGUUCAUGCUUAUGCAUAUAGGCAUGAAGAAAGGGCUAGCCCGCUAUGAGAUGAGCCCGCGUCCCAUUAGCUUGUUGGUGGGGUAAUGGCCUACCAAGGCAACGAUGGGUAGCCGGCCUGAGAGGGUGUACGGCCACACUGGGACUGAGACACGGCCCAGACUCCUACGGGGGGCAGCAGUAGGGAAUUUUCGGCAAUGGGCGAAAGCCUGACCGAGCGACGCCGCGUGAGGGACGAAGGCCUUCGGGUUGUAAACCUCUGUCUGGGGGGAUGAGAACGGACGGUACCCCCGGAGGAAGCCCCGGCUAACUACGUG
RNAcentral lists this ribosomal RNA (478 nucleotides) under uncultured bacterium. RNAcentral describes it as "bacterial SSU rRNA". It matches the Rfam family "Bacterial small subunit ribosomal RNA", at positions 33 to 507 of the family's 1533-position model. The record is from RNAcentral.